GUUGGUAAGGUAACGGCUUACCAAGGCUAAGACGGGUAGCUGGUCUGAGAGGACGACCAGCCACACUGGAACUGAGACACGGUCCAGACACCUACGGGUGGCAGCAGUCGAGAAUUUUUCACAAUGGGCGCAAGCCUGAUGGAGCGACGCCGCGUGGGGGAUGAAUGGCUUCGGCCCGUAAACCCCUGUCAUUUGCGAUCAAACGCUGUAAUUUAAAAGAUGACAGCCUGAUAGUAGCGAAAGAGGAAGGGACGGCUAACUCUGUGCCAGCAGCCGCGGUAAUACAGAGGUCCCAAGCGUUGUUCGGAUUCACUGGGCGUAAAGGGUGCGUAGGUGGCGGGGUAAGUCGGAUGUGAAAUCUCCGAGCUCAACUCGGAAAUGGCAUUGGAAACUGCUCUGCUCGAGGGUUGGAGGGGGGACUGGAAUACUUGUAGCAGUGAAAUGCGUAGAUAUCAAGUGGAACACCAGUGGCGAAGGCGAGUCCCUGGACAACUCCUGACACUGAGUCACGAAAGCUAGGGGAGCGAACAGGAUUAGGUACCCUGGUAGUCCUAGCCGUAAACGGUGCACGUUUGCUGUAAAAGGAAUCGACCCCUUUUGUGGCGUAGCUAACGCGUUAAACGUGCCGCCUGGGAAGUACGGUCGCAAGAUUAAAACUCAAAGAAAUUGACGGGGGCCUGCACAAGCGGUGGAGUAUGUGGCUCAAUUCGAUUCAACGCGAAGAACCUUACCUGGCCUUGACAUGUACGUAGUAGAAGGGUGAAAGCCUGACGAGAUAGCAAUGUCAGCGUACACAGGUGCUGCAUGGCUGUCGUCAGCUUGUGUCGUGAGAUGUUGGGUUAAGUCCCGCAACGAGCGCAACCCCUGUGUCCUGUUGCCACCCCGAUGAAAGUCGGGAGCACUCUGGACAGACUGCCUCGCUUAAACGAGGAGGAAGGUGGGGAUGACGUCAAGUCAGUAUGGCCCUUACGGCCAGGGCUGCACACGUACUACAAUGCCCGGCACAAAGGGAAGCGAGACCGUCAGGUGGAGCUAAUCCCCAAAAACCGGGCCCAGUUCAGAUUGUCGUCUGCAACUCGACGGCAUGAAGUUGGAAUCGCUAGUAAUGGCGCAUCAGCUACGGCGCCGUGAAUACGUUCCCAGGCCUUGUACACACCGCCCGUCACAUCAUGAAAGCCGUUUGUACCCGAAGUCACCGUGCUAACCGCAAGGAAGUAGGUGCCGAAGGUAUGGAUGGUGAUUGGGAUGAAGUCGAAACAAGGUA
RNAcentral lists this ribosomal RNA (1264 nucleotides) under metagenome. RNAcentral describes it as "bacterial SSU rRNA". It matches the Rfam family "Bacterial small subunit ribosomal RNA", at positions 248 to 1498 of the family's 1533-position model. The record is from RNAcentral.